UGGGGAAUCUUGCGCAAUGGCCGAAAGGCUGACGCAGCGACGCCGCGUGGGGGAUGAAGCAUUUCGGUGUGUAAACCCCUGUUGCCCGGGACGAACACGAGGUUUUGACCUCGCUGACGGUACCGGGUGAGGAAGCACCGGCUAACUCCGUGCCAGCAGCCGCGGUAAUACGGAGGGUGCGAGCGUUGUCCGGAAUCACUGGGCGUAAAGGGCGCGUAGGUGGCGCGGGCAGUCAACGGUGAAAGUUCGGGGCUCAACCCUGAAUCGGCCGUCGAUACUCCCGGGCUUGAGCACUGUAGAGGCUAAUGGAAUUCCGGGUGUAGCGGUGGAAUGCGUAGAGAUCCGGAAGAACACCGGUGGCGAAGGCGGUUAGCUGGGCAGUUGCUGACACUGAGGCGCGACAGCGUGGGGAGCAAACAG
Molecule: ribosomal RNA, 420 nt
Filed under: uncultured bacterium
Lineage: Bacteria
Description: bacterial SSU rRNA
Rfam family: Bacterial small subunit ribosomal RNA
Source: RNAcentral